Long non-coding RNA from Equus caballus (horse), 2498 nucleotides. The record is from Ensembl. NCBI's taxonomy places the organism in Eukaryota, Metazoa, Chordata, Mammalia, Perissodactyla, Equidae.
CUUGCUUAUUAGUGGGAAGUGUUUGUAGCUCGUAGAAGUUGAGGGGUUAGGAACGCCUGUGGGGGCUGCCUGGGUGGGGUGGGAAAAGUAAGAACGAGCCAGGAGAGUGGGGAGACCUCCCAGGGGAGUGCCCAAGUAGGAAUUGGACUGACUAGAGUUUCUCUAACAGAAUCAUAACUACAUAGCUCCUGGAAGCUCCCUGCUGGCCUAGGUUUGGGAUACCACACCUGCAGUCUUGCCUCACCUGAGAGGGCGAGUAGCUUGUAGAGCUCACACCACAGCUGUGAUGACUGCUACACCCACAGCGUCAUGGUGUUGAGCCUGGCCUGUCUGGAAAGGCCCAGUAUUAAACCAGACUCAGACUGAAUGCUCUAGAAGAAGUGAAGCCUAAGUGCAUGCAAGAGGAACUGGAGGGAAUUGGCAGGCAAAUGAUCACAUGGUGUGGUGGUCUGAGAAGCAGGAAAACCAGAGGCCUAGAGGUGGCUCAACCUGCUGACCUGGGGAAAGUGAGUGGAAAGUGCUGACCCUACUUGAAAAUCAGGCAAGGCUAUUUUUUGUGGAGUUGGCUCAGCUGAGCCAGCUCUGGGCCGAACUUGAUGAGGGCUUAAAUAGAAACUCCUAAGGUGUCGACUUCAUGUGCCGCUUCUAGGUGCUUCAGGAGCUGUUGCUUUUGUUUGGCUUGGAGGUGUGGGAUGGGCUGGCAGGAGCUGAUCUACUGUAGUGUCAGUGACUUCUAGCUGGAGCCUCAACCUCGGAUCCUCUGUGUGGGGAAAUGCCUUUGUGGUGAUGUGGUAUGACAGAAUAUGGGCUUGAGCUCAUCUGAGUUCGGUCCCUAGCUCUGUCACUUACUAGCUCUGAGAACUUGGACAAGUUGUUGCAAAAGUGGCUUAAACUGGGGUUUUGUGACUAGAUAAGACUAGUUAUAGACCAGUGCCCAUCACAGCAGGUGCUCAGUAAGAGUUGCUGGCUGGUAGAGUACCCCGCCCUCUCCCAACAGCUCACGUGGUUCUGUCAUGGGCGUCUUACUUAGUACCUAUGCUCCUCAGCGUGGAACUUCUGUUCAGCCGUAAGCAUCACUUGAACUUAAGUGCCUCGUAACCUCCCUGUAGCCUGGCAGGCUCGCUAAAUCUAGUUUGGUACCUCACUGUUGAACUUUCUCUCGCUCAGUCAGACCCUGCAGCUGGGAUUGUAUGCACCUGUUGUCCUGAGCAACUGCUUCAAAUGACGGUACCUUAAGGCAUGGAUGAAAGCUGCUUUGUUAAUUCCUCAAGGUCUAAAGCAUGGUUCACAAUGGAUUUCACAAGAUCAGAGACUUGUAUGGCCUUAGCUCAAAUGCUGUGGUGGAUCCUGGAGGUGCUGCAGUUGGAGGCUGUUGGCCGCUGCACCCUUUUCAGCUCAACAGCAAGUUCUUUCCUGGAGAUCUGGCAGCCUACCUCUGCACCGAAAUACCAGUCUAGUCAUGAGGUCCAGAGGAACAGGAUCUUGUGCUCUUGCAGGAGAAUUGGAAGGCCCCAGAGGACACUACCACCUCAGUUGAUGGGUUCUCUUCUAAGAAGAAAUCCAUUCUAACAUCCUCCCUGCACUUUCUGAUCACUUUCUCAACACUCUCCUGAACCAGUUCAAGAAUCUCCACCUCAUUUACUACAGAUCAUCAUUUCCCAGCUUCAGAAGAGCCAUCCCAGCAGUAUGUGAUCAGGACCAUCUCCAGAUGGCUUAGCCAGGACAUCAGAUCCUGGUUGUGGGGAAGUGCUCUCAUGUCAAACUCUCCCCUGCCCAAAUUUCUUCUCAACCCAUGGUCCCAACAUCCUCAGAAUAAAACUUCCACGCAUGUUCUCACAGGCUCUGAAUCUAGCAAAGGAGACUCGUCAAGUCCUCACAUUCUCAAUGUCCUUUGCAUCUCUGCCACCUUCAGUCAAAUCCUCAGCCUGAUUUUACAGUGUAGUCUAUCAUCCAGCUACAGGGUAUGAAGAUCUCCUUAAAACAAGUCACUGAAGUUUUCUGGCUUUCACAUCAUGCCCUGGGUUAGUAAGUGGUUGAUUUGAGCUUUUCAUUCUUGAAGGUUUCCAAAUCAGUUUUUCAAAAAGCAAAGCUCUUCUAUAAUCCUUAUGGCUUCCAGUACCUGAUGCUGUUCAGGUUCUAGAGAACUCCAUUACCCAGUGCUUUCCUUCCACCUCUACCUCAACCCAGGAAAGGUGAGCUGAAAUGGUGAUGCUGCUGAGGCUUGCUUCUGAUGGGAUCUCCAAGAAACAAAGGGAUGUCUUCCAAAAUCAGCUGCAUGAAGAAUGGACGUCUGGAGAAUUUAUCCGUGAGUCCCAUUCACCAUGGUGGAGAUAGGCCCUGGAAGUAUUAACAUCCCCUCACUUCCAGCCUGUGCACUGAGCCGACCUCAGUGGCUUCAAAGAGGACCCUGGGGCAGAAAGUACAAACACACAGCUCACUGGAGGCCAGACACUCUCAAUGUGAGUUCAAACUCAUUUACAACUGUCUAAAGCACCUAC